UUUACCCUACGGGGGGCAGCAGUGAGGAAUAUUGGUCAAUGGGAGAGAUCCUGAACCAGCCAAGCCGCGUGAGGGAAGACGGCCCUAUGGGUUGUAAACCUCUUUUGUCGGAGAACAAAACCCGGGACGUGUCCCGGACUGCGUGUAUCCGAAGAAAAAGCAUCGGCUAACUCCGUGCCAGCAGCCGCGGUAAUACGGAGGAUGCGAGCGUUAUCCGGAUUUAUUGGGUUUAAAGGGUGCGCAGGCGGAGGUGCAAGUCAGCGGUCAAAUUGCGGGGCUCAACCCCGUACUGCCGUUGAAACUGC
This 305-nucleotide ribosomal RNA is filed under the name uncultured bacterium. Its description in RNAcentral is "bacterial SSU rRNA". It matches the Rfam family "Bacterial small subunit ribosomal RNA", at positions 333 to 636 of the family's 1533-position model. The record is from RNAcentral.